AAGGCAUCAUGCACUUGAAAAAUUUCUGAAGACUUGAGAUUGUAUUUGCUCCAGAGGAGUUCUUUUGAUGAAAGAGAUCAAGUCAUAUAGGAAUGUUCUUCCCUCUCUAUGAGUGUAAGCUGUGUGGGUCCUUUCAAAACUUUAGGUCUCAGUGAAUCAUCACAUGAGAGCCAGUAUGCCAAAUUAUACUGAGACCGGGAUGUCUGAUAUAAUUGUAAGAAGUGGAGAGGUAGACCAGUUCUGAGAUUCAUAAUCCAGACUCUGCACUGGAUGAGGACUGAUGCUUCUUGCGUGACCUCCCAAGUAUUUAUUUAUGUAACACCUAUUGAAUGAAGAUGUGUGAAGAUGUAAGGAUGAAAGAAAGGUUCCUCCCUUCAACAGCCUCCAUUCACUCUAUAUAAUGCUAUAUAUCCAUUUAAGCCUGAAUGUAAUUGAAAUCUAAUUCAAUAUUACUCCGGCAAAAAUGAGAAAAAAAAGGGUAGUUUAAUGGAAGAUUAAUUGUGUAGGGGAAGCAAACUAGUCAGUUAUUUUGUGGGUGUUUUUGUGUUCCUUGGAAAGUAUUGUGAGCAAUUAAUUAGUAUGCAGACCUCGUAUUCUCUAGCGGUAUCUUGACUAUAGCUAAAGAAGAAUAAUAUUUGGCAAGAAGUGAUUAUAAAUUAUUUUAAAAAAUCAAACAUAAAAGAAAAGUGAACUUUCUGGUUCCUUAAGUAGGCCUAUGGAGACACAGUGGCAGAGCCAGGUGGAUUAUUCUCCUUGAUUUUCAAAAUCAGUGUUUUAAUGGAGGGCUAAUUACGUAGAAGAGAAGAAAUGAUGGUAUGCAAGAAAAACAAAUUGUAUAGAUAAAAGCUCUUUUUGUGUGUGGUGGGGAGGAGAUUUACACAUUUUGGUGGUAGAUUUGGACAGAACUAGAAUUUCCAUGUAUUUUGGCGUUGGGCAGCAGAACAGCCGAAGUCUUAGUAAAACACACAUACACACAGAGAUGUGCACACACAGGCACACACUCACAGAAACGUGCCUCACACAGCAUUCCUGUUUUUAAAAAACUAUUAAAACGUGCCUGUGUUUCCCUCUAUUGUCCUUCUUGGUACCUCUUUCUUCCUUUUUUUUCUCCUUCCUCCCUUCCUUUCCUUUUUCCCAUUUAGGCUGGAAACGACUCUUUCUCUAUUGAAAAACCUUCACAACUGCGGUCAUUUCACAUGCAACUCAGGUCCUUAGUUUCAGACCAUCUGCUGCCCUCUUGUGGCCAUACAAUCCACCUAUCCAUGCCCCAACUCUAAGACCCUGAUGGUUUUUGUCAGUUGAAAUGUUUUUUUCUCAGAUGAAACGGACAUCUCAAAUUAUAAAAAAGCUAUUUUUACUGUCAUAUAUUACACCAUUAUCUUCUAAUACACUUCUCUAAAGUAUGUAAAAAAUAUAUAAUGUUUGUAAUCGUAUUAAAGACAACAUAUUCCUAUACAUCAUGGAGUGAUUGUUAUAUCUUUCAGGGAUAUUUGAAAGUAGCGCAUUUCACUCAUUCAUGUGGAGUCUUCACCUGAUGGAUGCCUCAUUCUGUGAAUAAACUGGCGGUGUUGAUCUACAGCUGUAUACAGACCACAUCUUUCUUCUAAAGCUGCAAGGCACACAUUUAAACUCAAAUCUCAGAGAUUGCAACACCUAGAUUGCAGUACAAAUUGGUAUGACCGACCAGACCCAGCAACCAUCGAUCUUCAUUCUUCCUGCCACCCUGAAAACUGAAACCUUUUGUAGCAAGAGGUAACUAAAAUUCUGAAGUCGGCUUGCAAUAAAGGGAAGCAACAACUUUAAGAUUGGACUGAAAUAUCUGACAGCUCUCUGAAACAAAACAAAAACAAAAUGUACCCAGGUUUCAGUUACGCUCUAUUUGGUUUCUUUUCUUGUUAAAUAAGUGCUGGCAUAUAACUCAUUAGACACCUUGUGGGCCGCCCCACAAAGAUGUGGGCAGUUCAAUUUAGAGUAAGUGGGAGGUGUAUAAUUCAGAGUUUACACUUCUAGAUAAAUCAGGCUUCAGCAUGAGAUUUUUGCCAUAUACUUCAGAUAAUCUUAUUUCCCUAGCUGCUGGCUCAAAUUUGAAUUUAAACAGAAAUACAAACAAUACAUAGAGGGGGGAAAGUUUUCCAAUAACAAUUUCCAUUAAUAAUGAAAAUUUGUUUGAGGAAGUAAACACCUCUUAGAACUUGUUUUCCUGAUUCAUUCCUUCAUUUUGGAGUAGACAGGAAAACUAUGUCCUUAUCUAGGAGGCUGAAGGCAGAUCAUCUGUUUGGUCUAUUCUCAAGUGGUUCUAAAACCUUUUUAACUAGUCUUGGAGACAUGUUUAACUGUUGGUCAGAGAAUGUGCUUUUACUAGAAAGAGCUUCAGCAGAUUCUCUCUUCUUGGUGUCUAGUGAUUUCUGCCCAACCCUUGGCCUUUCCUGGGACAGUUUGUGCUCAAACUGGAUGAUCACAUGUCUCCAAGUGUAGCUUGACCUAAGUCUGUUUAAUGGGUAGACAGGGCAUUAGAAGUGGUUGCGGAUUUUUCUUCUAUCAGAAAAAUAUAUAUUAAAAACAAAACAGCAACAAUAAAAAGUACAAGACAAAAACAAGCAAACAAACAAACAGAAAACUGGAGUAUCUCUCAUUUGAGAAAUAUCCCUUCUCCCUCAAGAUGAUUAGAAUUCUGUGGCAUAUAGUUUCCACAGUUAUCAAGAUGAGGUUUACUAUUAGGCCUCAACAGACAAAAUAACACCACAACACACUGCUCUUUGCCAACUAUAUGGCCAAAGAUUUACAAAUGAAUAACUAUUUCACUCAAUGCUAAUUAUGGUAUGAUGGUACUAGCAUUCUCAUUCCCAGCUGUUGCUAGUUGUGGUAGACUAUUUGCAACAAAUGACAGAAGUUCCCUUACUUGAAAGAAUCCCCCCUUGCCAUGUAAUUUUGCAAAUCCCCUCAUCAACAGAUGGAGUAUCCUUGCCCUUCUCUUUAACCUGGGCUGGCCUUGUGACUUUCUUUGACCAACAGAGUGUGGUGGAAGUGAUUCUUGACCCAGACAUAAUGACACUUUUAUGUCUGCAUAUAACAUCAUGAGAAGCUUUCUUGCUCUUAUUCUGCCCUUGUCUGUAGUGGAGAAUCAUCUGUUAUUGCUAUUUGAGAUCACAAGUCAUUACCUUCCUGAGGAAUGGACUCUGUUAUUAAAUUCACUCUCAUCUUUCUGAUUUAGAUUUCUCCUAAUACUGAUUUCUCCUAAUCCUCCCUCAGAAAGACUGAUUUCUACUGCUUAAUUCUAGGCACAGCUUACUUUCAGAAUACACAUUUUGACCAAACUCUUCAUAAACUGUGUAGAACCAGACAAGGGUGGGGUAAGUAAAUAAAACAAGGCGCUUAGAUUGGAUGCAAUAUUUAAGGGGCACCAAAAACGCAAAAGUCAAGAGAAAUAAUAGUUUAAUGCAGUAUUAUAAAAAAUCAAAAUCAAUGCAAAAGUCCAUAAUGAACACACUAUCAGAAAUUUAAACAAAGACAUGAUGAGUAUGGAACCAUGUAAGAUGGAUUUGGGCUAAAUAUAUCUAAGUUAAAUUUCUUUACUUUGACAGUUGUUACUUGUGAGGCCUCAGAAAAUUUAUAUUCUCCAAAUCUCUGUUUUGUCAUUUGCAUAAUGGAACUAUUAUUUUCUGUGGGUUAUUUAAAAGAGUAAAUAAAAUAAGGCAUAAACUACUUAGCCUGUUCUUACCACAUAUUACUACCCAGUGUUAAUGAUUUGUC
RNAcentral lists this long non-coding RNA (3750 nucleotides) under Homo sapiens (human). RNAcentral describes it as "HSALNT0208779". The record is from RNAcentral. Lineage: Eukaryota; Metazoa; Chordata; Mammalia; Primates; Hominidae.